CAAUAGCGUAUAUUAAAGUUGUUGCAGUUAAAAGGCUCGUAGUUGAAUUUUUGCUUGCCGCCGAUGUCGGAACUUCCGUACGUUCGGCGGCGUGCAUCCUUGGGUGGAACCUGUGUGGCAUUAGGUUGUCGUGCAGGGGAUGCUCAUCGUUUACUGUGAAAAAAUUAGAGUGUUCAAAGCAGGCUUACGCCGUUGAAUAUAUUAGCAUGGAAUAAUAAGAUAGGACCUUGGUACUAUUUUGUUGGUUUGCGCACCGAGGUAAUGAUUAACAGGGACAGUUGGGGGUAUUCGUAUUCCAUUGUCAGAGGUGAAAUUCUUGGAUUUCUGGAAGACGAACUACUGCGAAAGCAUUUACCAAGGAUGUUUNCAUUAA
RNAcentral lists this ribosomal RNA (373 nucleotides) under uncultured eukaryote. RNAcentral's name for it is "partial 18S ribosomal RNA". It matches the Rfam family "Eukaryotic small subunit ribosomal RNA", at positions 592 to 976 of the family's 1831-position model. The record is from RNAcentral.